CCUACGGGUGGCAGCAGUGAGGAAUAUUGGUCAAUGGGCGCGAGCCUGAUCCAGCCACGUAGCGUGAAGGAUGACGGCCCUACGGGUUGUAAGCUUCUUUUAUAGAGGAAUAAAGUGCGGCACGUGUGCCUUUUUGUCUGUACUUUAUGAAUAAGGAUCGGCUAACUCCGUGCCAGCAGCCGCGAUAAUACGGAGGAUCCGAGCGUUAUCCGGAUUUAUUGGGUUUAAAGGGGGAGUAGAUGGGGUGUUAAGCCAGUGGUGAAAGUUUGCGGCUCAACCGUAAAAUUGCAAUUGAUACUGGCAGGCUGGAGUACAGUUGAGGUAGGCGGAAUUCGUGGUGUAGCGGUGAAAUGCUUAGAUAUCACGAAGAACUCCGAUUGCGAAGGCAGCUUACUAAACUGCCACUGACAUUGAUGCUCGAAAGUGUGGGUAUCAAACAGGAUUAGAUACCCCAGUAGUC
RNAcentral lists this ribosomal RNA (460 nucleotides) under uncultured bacterium. Its description in RNAcentral is "partial 16S ribosomal RNA". It matches the Rfam family "Bacterial small subunit ribosomal RNA", at positions 338 to 795 of the family's 1533-position model. The record is from RNAcentral.